GCUCUAAAAUGUGUAAGAUGUUUCCCACCUGAUGAUGAAAUGUGUCUGCCCAGUCCUGAAAACUGCAAAAAGCAAAAUGCCUGUGUCUAUUUUCUGCCAAAUCAUCAUCCUGGUUUUACUGCCUCAGAGAUGAAGCGGUGCAUUUCUAUGUCAGAGUGUCUCAAGCUUAAGCAAAAUCCUAUGUACAAAGUAAAAUGCUGUCAGACGGACUUCUGCAAUAUUAGUUUCACUUAACCAUAACCAUGCUUGAUCUUGAUCUUUUGUUCAGUAUUACUGUUGAUUUUUGUUGCUGCUGUUUUUACUUAUGUACUUGGCAACAGCAGCAGUAAAUUCAGUUCACUGUGUCUGAGCCGCUUUUAGUCAUAUCCUGUCCUGAAGAAAUGAGUCCCUAAUAAAAUCUUUUCAGCGUUGA
Long non-coding RNA from Clarias gariepinus (North African catfish), 412 nucleotides. RefSeq lists it as uncharacterized. NCBI's taxonomy places the organism in Eukaryota, Metazoa, Chordata, Actinopteri, Siluriformes, Clariidae. The transcript is spliced from 2 exons. The record is from RefSeq and is a predicted model, not a curated record.